RNAcentral lists this ribosomal RNA (3105 nucleotides) under Triticum aestivum (bread wheat). RNAcentral's name for it is "partial small subunit ribosomal RNA". The record is from RNAcentral. Lineage: Eukaryota; Viridiplantae; Streptophyta; Magnoliopsida; Poales; Poaceae.
AUGAAGCAUAGAUUAUCAUGCAAAGCUGAUGAUAUUGAUAGUAUUGAAGAAGUUAUAGAUAUACAAAGAGAUCUAGAAAGAUAUCAGAAAGAUACCCUAAGAAAAAUAAAGCCACAACAAGUAUAUCACAUGGGUAUGUUUGAAAGUAAGAGUGGUCUAUACAGAAUAUCUCGAGAAGUAGAAUUAAGCGUGUUAACACAUCCAGUAGAUUUAAGAAUUGUAAGCAAAAAUAUUGAAAAUGAAUUAAAAUAUUGUGGUUACAAAUAUAUUCAUCAAGAAAAAAUGAGUUUUGGUUUCCAAACUAAAGGUUAUGAAGAUUUUAAAGGAACAAAUUUGCUAGUAAGUAUAGAAUUUAUAGGAAGGCUCACUAAUAGAAGUAGCUCCAGAUAUAGAGUGAAUGUGAAUGACGUAAUUGAUAGUAUGCAAUCAAAAGGUAUUAAAUUUAUGAAUCCUCUUAAAAUUGGCUCUGAAGAAAGAGCAGGAGAAGAAUGGAAGAUAGGAGAAUUAAUAGAGAAAAAAGAAUUAAAGCAACCUGAAAACUACAUAAGCUAUCAAAAUUGUGAAGGAAGUAGCAGUAUUCGAUUUAUGAACUAUAAAGCUGCAUCAACAGAAGACUCUGAAUCAUUUAUGUCAGAAUCGGAAAUUAAUGAUGAUAAGAAUAAAGGUAUAUCUGAAUGUAUGGAAAAGGCUAAUUUAGAUGAUGAAAUAAUUCAUUGGGAAAAGAAGCUAAAGCAUAUUGAAUGGGAAUAUAGUCAUUCUAUGACAAAGGAUUGGCCGGAAAUUAGAGAAAGAGAGCUAUUUAUCAUUCGAGAAAUUGCAAGGUUAAAGAAACUAAAAAGCGAUAAAAUGUCUGUCACUAAAAGAAAAGCAAAUGCGAUCAUUAAUAAAAAUUCUGUUGUUAAUAAUAAUAAUAAAGAUAAGAAUAUUAUUCAAAAAGAAGAAAUUGUUAGUGAAGAAGAGCAAUGGGAUAUCAAUAAUAAGUUAUUAUUAGAAAGUUAUGAGGAAGAGGAGGAAUUAAUAAAAGAAAUGUGGUUAGAAGAUGAAAGAUAUGAUGAUUCAGAACAAAAUAGUGAUUUCUACAACUCACUAGAUGAUGUGGGAGAAUCUGUAAAAGUUCUUUGGGAACAAUGGGUAGAAUCAUACCCUAGUCAAUAUGAAGAAUUAAAAAGGGCAGGAAGUAACCCUAAUAACUUUGCGAAUGUUAUCUCAAAUAUGAUCAUAGCAGAAGAUCCUGAAUUAGGACAUACCUCAUUGCAAAAUGAAAGGUUAAGAGAAAUAGAAAAAUUAACAUUAACUAGCUGGAAAGGUAUUAAAGAGUUUUCCCAGCAUUAUUUGUAUAAUGCUACUACUGCUAAACAAGGUUUUAAUGUAGGCGUAGUAGAAAGAUAUUUUAAUAAGUUGCCUGAUCCCCUAGGGUCAAUAAUAUUUGAAGAAUAUAAAAAGGAAACGGCGGGAAACGUGGUAAACAUAUCUCAAGCUGUAACAUUUGUUUUCAAACAAUUAAGAAAGGUGUGUACUAGUAUUCAAGCCCAAAGAUCUAUGAAGAAAUUAGAUUAUAAUUUUUGCAAUAACAUAGUCCAAAUACCACUUACAUAUGGAGAAGAAAGGCAUAGGAAUCAUCUAAGUAGAACUUGCCCUAAUAAAGACCAGAAAAGAUACUCUAGCAAAUAUGAAGAACAAGAGAGGGUGUUAAUUAUAGAUAGCGUUAAUGAAAAUAUAUUAGUAUGUGAUGAUGAAAUAAAAGACGAUGAGUCAAUAUAUUCAAUUAUAGAAACAGAUGAAGUAGAAAAUGAGGCUCCAGAAUAUGAAUCAAGUGAAGAUGAAAUAGACCUAAUAGAUGAUUUAGCCGGUUUAAAAAUUGAAAUGAUGAACCAAGUAGAUUGUGAACAUGAUUGGAUUAGAGGAAAAGGUGAUUAUAACAUAAAAUGUGCUUUCUGUAUAUAUUAUCCAAGCCAAGAUAAUAGGUUUACAUGUAGCUUGUGUUUAAAACAAGCAUGUGCCUCAUGUCUAAGAGCCAAUAAUCAAAAGUGGAGACAAGAGAUAGAAUUGGAACCAGAAGAGCGAAUAUUAUCCAGUAGGGUUAGGAAUUUAGAAAAUAGAAUAAAUAAGCUAGAAGCAGAGCUAGAAAAACUUAAAGAUGAGUUAGAAAAUAGUAAAGAGGAAAAUGAUAAUGUUCCAAAAAACACAGAAAUGAAAGAGCAAAUGGUAACAGUAAGGGAUAAAAAAGGAGACAAAUUAAUACAAUUGAAAGAUGCAAUUACUAGUUUUGGAAACAAAUAUAUUGUUCGAUUACCAUUCAAAGAAGUGUUAGGAAUAAGGAUCCCAGUUAAGAUUGUUCUGAAGCCAAAUAUUUCAUAUAAAGUACUGGCACUAUUAGAUACUGGUUGCACUAAAAAUAUCAUCCAUGAUAAAUAUUUUAUGAGAUGUCCCGAAAUAGUUGAAACUAUAGAUGAUAAUAAAGCUGAAGUAUCUACCGAUAUGUCAGGAAUAAAGAAGAUCCAUAACCAGCUAGCAUAUAAUAUUGAAGCUUACAUAAAUGGCACAAAAUAUAUAAUAGAUGAAAUUACAAUAAGAGAUUUGUCAGUAAUAAAUGAUGACAUGAUAAUAGGGUUAAGAUUUUUACAACAAUCUUUACAAACCACAAUCAUACAUGAAGAGGGGGUAACAUUUAUUCCUUAUCAAGAUAAUGUUCCAUACAUAUCUGAAGUGCGAAAACAAAGAAAGUCCUUGCAAAAUGUAGAAAUAUCUAAUUUAGAUGAUGAAUAUAGCACAAGUCUAGAUCCCCUUGAAUUCUGUAAAGACGAAGAACUUAGUGAGACCAUAGAAGAAUAUCAUAUAGAAAAUACAUGUACUGAAUGCAUUGGGUUGCAAUCAGUCUCUCCAAAUUGGUAUAGAGAUAUAAAAUCCAAAAAGGAUAUAGAUAAGAUUGUGCAAAGACUAGAAAGUAUACAAAUUAUUGGAGAAAUACCAAUGAAACAUUGGGAUAAGAACUCUAUAGUUUGCAAAAUAAAUAUCAUAAAUCCAGAUUAUAUAAUUAAGUCAGGACCAAUAGAAGCAACUCCUAAAGAAUCGAAGAGUUCAAAAUGCAUAUUGAAGAGUUAUUAA